ACGCUCGACACCUACGGGAGGAGCAGUGGGGAAUAUUGCACAAUGGGGGAAACCCUGAUGCAGCGACGCCGCGUGGAGGAAGAAGGUCUUCGGAUUGUAAACUCCUGUUGUUAGGGAAAAAGAGGAUGGUACCCAACAAGGAAGUGACGGCUAACUACGUGCCAGUAGCCGCGGUAAUCUGAGCGGGCUGGCAAGGC
RNAcentral lists this ribosomal RNA (197 nucleotides) under uncultured bacterium. RNAcentral describes it as "partial 16S ribosomal RNA". It matches the Rfam family "Bacterial small subunit ribosomal RNA", at positions 328 to 539 of the family's 1533-position model. The record is from RNAcentral.